RNAcentral lists this ribosomal RNA (597 nucleotides) under uncultured bacterium. Its description in RNAcentral is "bacterial SSU rRNA". It matches the Rfam family "Bacterial small subunit ribosomal RNA", at positions 331 to 929 of the family's 1533-position model. The record is from RNAcentral.
CCAGACUCCUACGGGAGGCAGCAGUGAGGAAUAUUGGUCAAUGGGCGUAAGCCUGAACCAGCCAAGUAGCGUGCAGGAAGACGGCCCUAUGGGUUGUAAACUGCUUUUGUAUGGGGAUAAAGUCAGUCACGUGUGAUUGUUUGCAGGUACCAUACGAAUAAGGACCGGCUAAUUCCGUGCCAGCAGCCGCGGUAAUACGGAAGGUCCGGGCGUUAUCCGGAUUUAUUGGGUUUAAAGGGAGCGUAGGCUGGAGAUUAAGUGUGUUGUGAAAUGUAGACGCUCAACGUCUGACUUGCAGCGCAUACUGGUUUCCUUGAGUACGCACAACGUUGGCGGAAUUCGUCGUGUAGCGGUGAAAUGCUUAGAUAUGACGAAGAACUCCGAUUGCGAAGGCAGCUGACGGGAGCGCAACUGACGCUGAAGCUCGAAGGUGCGGGUAUCGAACAGGAUUAGAUACCCUGGUAGUCCGCACAGUAAACGAUGGAUGCCCGCUGUUGGUACCUGGUAUCAGCGGCUAAGCGAAAGCAUUAAGCAUCCCACCUGGGGAGUACGCCGGCAACGGUGAAACUCAAAGGAAUUGACGGGGGCCCGCACAAG